ACGGACAGAGCCCGUGAAUCCGGGCGUGCGGAAUUCAGGACCGACGAGCGGAGACGCGUUCGCGCGCCUUCGUUCGUCGAUUCGAUAUUUCCGCCGCCGACCUUUACAGGUGCGGACGUCGCGACCCGUUCGUCGUCGGUCUGACGAGUCGCGUUUCAAGCUCGUCGCGCGCUCGUCUUCGGAUGUGCGCGCGGCGAUGGCGCGAUCCUCGGACCGGCGUGUGCGGACGGUAGCUGUAAACGCGCGGGUAAUCGACGCGGCCCAUCUUCGGUCUUCGGGCCGAAGGGCGCUCGCGUCGACGCCGGUCAGCGACGAAUCUUCGGGCCUCUUUCCGACCCGUCUUGAAACACGGACCAAGGAGUCUAACGUGCGCGCGAGUCGCGGGGUAUUCGAGUCGUUACGCGACUCGUCACCAAUACGAAACCCGUUUACGUACGUUGUGCGAAGGCGUAAUGAAAGUGAGGUGGCCUUCGCGUCACCGGGGAAGACGGUGCUUCCGUGUACACGUUUCUCGGUCGCUUUGUAACCGAGACCGGACACCCGCAUUCCCAGGGCGUCCCGCCCGUCCGUCGACGGUGCGGACGCGCGUUCGCGCGCGCGUCGGCCGCCGACGAACUGGGGCGCACCUAUAGCGUGCACGUUGGUACCCGAAAGAUGGUGAACUAUGCCCGGCCAGGAUGAAGUCAGGGGAAACCCUGAUGGAGGUCCGCAGCGAUUCUGACGUGCAAAUCGAUCGUCUGAGCUGGGUAUAGGGGCGAAAGACUAAUCGAACCAUCUAGUA
Molecule: ribosomal RNA, 781 nt
Filed under: Austrolecanium sassafras
Lineage: Eukaryota; Metazoa; Arthropoda; Insecta; Hemiptera; Coccidae
Description: eukaryotic LSU rRNA
Rfam family: Eukaryotic large subunit ribosomal RNA
Source: RNAcentral